CGACUAAGGUUCGAUUCGAGCGUCAGCGAGAAAGCGUUGCCGCAGGCAACGACCCGAAGGGCGAAGCGCGCAGCGCUGAGUCAUCCUUCCCCCAUCACCA
This 100-nucleotide small RNA is filed under the name Salmonella enterica subsp. enterica serovar Cerro. RNAcentral describes it as "partial RtT sRNA". It matches the Rfam family "RtT RNA", at positions 33 to 130 of the family's 130-position model. From Rfam's summary of the family: This family represents a bacterial cis-regulatory element known as RtT RNA. The exact function of RtT is unknown although it is thought that it may be involved in changing the cellular response in relation to amino acid starvation. The record is from RNAcentral. Lineage: Bacteria; Pseudomonadati; Pseudomonadota; Gammaproteobacteria; Enterobacterales; Enterobacteriaceae.